This is a non-coding RNA of Paramuricea clavata, 72 nucleotides long. The record is from the annotation of a GenBank genome assembly. Lineage: Eukaryota; Metazoa; Cnidaria; Anthozoa; Malacalcyonacea; Plexauridae.
GGCAUGAUGGUCUAGUGGUAAGGACAAAGUGUUGCGGGUUAGUGAAGCCAGUUUCGAUUCCUGGUCGUGUCA